Molecule: ribosomal RNA, 498 nt
Filed under: Triticum aestivum (bread wheat)
Lineage: Eukaryota; Viridiplantae; Streptophyta; Magnoliopsida; Poales; Poaceae
Description: partial small subunit ribosomal RNA
Source: RNAcentral
AUGGUCGCUAGUCCUCAACUCAAAAGACGUCCAGUCUUGCAUGUGGCGGACCGAGAGGCUCAACCAGCCCGGUGGGAGGCGCCCCCGGCAGGCUGGGCAGCGAUGAAUAUUGAUGGGUCAUUUUCAGUUCAAGAUGGUACAGGUGGAGCGGGCAUGAUACUCAGGGAUGAAUCAGGUGCAAUCAUCUAUUCAUCCUGCCGUGAGCUUAGACAUUGUGCAUCUGCACUUGAGUCUGAAAUUGCUGCAUGUAUGGAAGGAAUUUCACUCGCUAUCCAGUGGACGGCCAUGCCGCUUGUUAUCCAAACGGAUUGUUUGGAUGUUGCGAAAUUUAUUACGGGUACUGAUGAUGACAGAUCAGCUCAUACAAUGAUGGUGCAAGAAAUUAGAUCACACCUUCAGGAGGGUCAUAAAAAACGGCAGCAGGAAAAGGUGAACAUUGAUUGGGCAUGGGAAGUUUCCAGGCUCGGCCUCAUAUUUGACAAACAAGACACGUACUAG